AGAGUUUGAUCCUGGCUCAGGAUGAACGCUGGCGGCGUGCCUAAUACAUGCAAGUCGAGCGAACUGAUUAGAAGCUUGCUUCUAUGACGUUAGCGGCGGACGGGUGAGUAACACGUGGGCAACCUGCCUGUAAGACUGGGAUAACUUCGGGAAACCGAAGCUAAUACCGGAUAGGAUCUUCUCCUUCAUGGGAGAUGAUUGAAAGAUGGUUUCGGCUAUCACUUACAGAUGGGCCCGCGGUGCAUUAGCUAGUUGGUGAGGUAACGGCUCACCAAGGCAACGAUGCAUAGCCGACCUGAGAGGGUGAUCGGCCACACUGGGACUGAGACACGGCCCAGACUCCUACGGGAGGCAGCAGUAGGGAAUCUUCCGCAAUGGACGAAAGUCUGACGGAGCAACGCCGCGUGAGUGAUGAAGGCUUUCGGGUCGUAAAACUCUGUUGUUAGGGAAGAACAAGUACGAGAGUAACUGCUCGCACCUUGACGGUACCUAACCAGAAAGCCACGGCUAACUACGUGCCAGCAGCCGCGGUAAUACGUAGGUGGCAAGCGUUAUCCGGAAUUAUUGGGCGUAAAGCGCGCGCAGGCGGUUUCUUAAGUCUGAUGUGAAAGCCCACGGCUCAACCGUGGAGG
This 632-nucleotide ribosomal RNA is filed under the name uncultured marine bacterium. RNAcentral's name for it is "bacterial SSU rRNA". It matches the Rfam family "Bacterial small subunit ribosomal RNA", at positions 8 to 621 of the family's 1533-position model. The record is from RNAcentral.